This 2929-nucleotide ribosomal RNA is filed under the name Salmonella enterica. RNAcentral describes it as "23S ribosomal RNA". It matches the Rfam family "Bacterial large subunit ribosomal RNA". The record is from RNAcentral. Lineage: Bacteria; Pseudomonadati; Pseudomonadota; Gammaproteobacteria; Enterobacterales; Enterobacteriaceae.
GGGUUGUGAGGUUAAGCGACUAAGCGUACACGGUGGAUGCCCUGGCAGUCAGAGGCGAUGAAGGGCGUGCUAAUCUGCGAUAAGCGCCGGUAAGGUGAUAUGAACCGUUAUAACCGGCGAUACCCGAAUGGGGAAACCCAGUGUGACUCGUCACACUAUCAUUAACUGAAUCCAUAGGUUAAUGAGGCGAACCGGGGGAACUGAAACAUCUAAGUACCCCGAGGAAAAGAAAUCAACCGAGAUUCCCCCAGUAGCGGCGAGCGAACGGGGAGGAGCCCAGAGCCUGAAUCAGCAUGUGUGUUAGUGGAAGCGUCUGGAAAGGCGCGCGAUACAGGGUGACAGCCCCGUACACAAAAGCGCAUGUGCUGUGAGCUCGAUGAGUAGGGCGGGACACGUGGUAUCCUGUCUGAAUAUGGGGGGACCAUCCUCCAAGGCUAAAUACUCCUGACUGACCGAUAGUGAACCAGUACCGUGAGGGAAAGGCGAAAAGAACCCCGGCGAGGGGAGUGAAAAAGAACCUGAAACCGUGUACGUACAAGCAGUGGGAGCACAGGUUUACCUGUGUGACUGCGUACCUUUUGUAUAAUGGGUCAGCGACUUAUAUUCUGUAGCAAGGUUAACCGAAUAGGGGAGCCGGAGGGAAACCGAGUCUUAAUUGGGCGUUAAGUUGCAGGGUAUAGACCCGAAACCCGGUGAUCUAGCCAUGGGCAGGUUGAAGGUUGGGUAACACUAACUGGAGGACCGAACCGACUAAUGUUGAAAAAUUAGCGGAUGACCUGUGGCUGGGGGUGAAAGGCCAAUCAAACCGGGAGAUAGCUGGUUCUCCCCGAAAGCUAUUUAGGUAGCGCCUCGUGAAUUCAUCUCCGGGGGUAGAGCACUGUUUCGGCUAGGGGGCCAUCCCGGCUUACCAACCCGAUGCAAACUGCGAAUACCGGAGAAUGUUAUCACGGGAGACACACGGCGGGUGCUAACGUCCGUCGUGAAGAGGGAAACAACCCAGACCGCCAGCUAAGGUCCCAAAGUCAUGGUUAAGUGGGAAACGAUGUGGGAAGGCCCAGACAGCCAGGAUGUUGGCUUAGAAGCAGCCAUCAUUUAAAGAAAGCGUAAUAGCUCACUGGUCGAGUCGGCCUGCGCGGAAGAUGUAACGGGGCUAAACCAUGCACCGAAGCUGCGGCAGCGACGCUGAUGCGUUGUUGGGUAGGGGAGCGUUCUGUAAGCCUGCGAAGGUGGCCUGUGAGGGUUGCUGGAGGUAUCAGAAGUGCGAAUGCUGACAUAAGUAACGAUAAAGCGGGUGAAAAGCCCGCUCGCCGGAAGACCAAGGGUUCCUGUCCAACGUUAAUCGGGGCAGGGUGAGUCGACCCCUAAGGCGAGGCCGAAAGGCGUAGUCGAUGGGAAACGGGUUAAUAUUCCCGUACUUGGUGUUACUGCGAAGGGGGGACGGAGAAGGCUAUGUUGGCCGGGCGACGGUUGUCCCGGUUUAAGCGUGUAGGUGUGUGUUCCAGGUAAAUCCGGUUCACUUUAACACUGAGGCGUGAUGACGAGGCACUACGGUGCUGAAGCAACAAAUGCCCUGCUUCCAGGAAAAGCCUCUAAGCAUCAGGUAACAUCAAAUCGUACCCCAAACCGACACAGGUGGUCAGGUAGAGAAUACCAAGGCGCUUGAGAGAACUCGGGUGAAGGAACUAGGCAAAAUGGUGCCGUAACUUCGGGAGAAGGCACGCUGACACGUAGGUGAAGUGAUUUACUCAUGGAGCUGAAGUCAGUCGAAGAUACCAGCUGGCUGCAACUGUUUAUUAAAAACACAGCACUGUGCAAACACGAAAGUGGACGUAUACGGUGUGACGCCUGCCCGGUGCCGGAAGGUUAAUUGAUGGGGUCAGCGCAAGCGAAGCUCCUGAUCGAAGCCCCGGUAAACGGCGGCCGUAACUAUAACGGUCCUAAGGUAGCGAAAUUCCUUGUCGGGUAAGUUCCGACCUGCACGAAUGGCGUAAUGAUGGCCAGGCUGUCUCCACCCGAGACUCAGUGAAAUUGAACUCGCUGUGAAGAUGCAGUGUACCCGCGGCAAGACGGAAAGACCCCGUGAACCUUUACUAUAGCUUGACACUGAACAUUGAGCCUUGAUGUGUAGGAUAGGUGGGAGGCUUUGAAGUGUGGACGCCAGUCUGCAUGGAGCCGACCUUGAAAUACCACCCUUUAAUGUUUGAUGUUCUAACGUGGACCCGUAAUCCGGGUUGCGGACAGUGUCUGGUGGGUAGUUUGACUGGGGCGGUCUCCUCCUAAAGAGUAACGGAGGAGCACGAAGGUUGGCUAAUCCUGGUCGGACAUCAGGAGGUUAGUGCAAUGGCAUAAGCCAGCUUGACUGCGAGCGUGACGGCGCGAGCAGGUGCGAAAGCAGGUCAUAGUGAUCCGGUGGUUCUGAAUGGAAGGGCCAUCGCUCAACGGAUAAAAGGUACUCCGGGGAUAACAGGCUGAUACCGCCCAAGAGUUCAUAUCGACGGCGGUGUUUGGCACCUCGAUGUCGGCUCAUCACAUCCUGGGGCUGAAGUAGGUCCCAAGGGUAUGGCUGUUCGCCAUUUAAAGUGGUACGCGAGCUGGGUUUAGAACGUCGUGAGACAGUUCGGUCCCUAUCUGCCGUGGGCGCUGGAGAACUGAGGGGGGCUGCUCCUAGUACGAGAGGACCGGAGUGGACGCAUCACUGGUGUUCGGGUUGUCAUGCCAAUGGCACUGCCCGGUAGCUAAAUGCGGAAGAGAUAAGUGCUGAAAGCAUCUAAGCACGAAACUUGCCCCGAGAUGAGUUCUCCCUGAGACUUAGAGUCUCCUGAAGGAACGUUGAAGACGACGACGUUGAUAGGCCGGGUGUGUAAGCGCAGCGAUGCGUUGAGCUAACCGGUACUAAUGAACCGUGAGGCUUAACCUUACAACGCCGAAG